RNAcentral lists this long non-coding RNA (1286 nucleotides) under Equus asinus (donkey). RNAcentral describes it as "lncRNA (ENSEASG00005030540.1)". Lineage: Eukaryota; Metazoa; Chordata; Mammalia; Perissodactyla; Equidae. The record is from RNAcentral.
GAAGUCCUCUCUGACCAGCACCACAGGCCAGGUUAGGGCUGGGCUCCUCCAGGCUGCCAUAGCACUGUAUGCUCACUGUGCCUCUGUGGACGUGCUCUCGGGGGAAGGGACCCCGUCUGAUUCCUCCCUGUGCCCCAGCACCUGAAUCAGCCUGGGAGGGCUGAUGAAAAGGGAAGAUCCUACCAAAUGCCCUAUGGUUGGUGACCAGGAGCUCUGCACAAGCAGCCUUACAGACUUCCCAGAAACAUCCCAAAAGGCCAGCUCUAGAAAGACCUGAGAAGUUAACCCGUUUUUCAGAGGGGAAACUGAUGCCCAGUUGGGGACAGGUGGCACUUAAGGACGCAUGACCUGUUAGUGGCAGAGCCAGGGACUCCACCAAACUCCCCCAGCCCUCUUCCCACGAUCAUGCUGCCUCUGAACCUUGGGAACAGGCUCUGGGGAGUUCAUUUCCUCAGAAAGAAAUCCACUACCCUCCAGGUCCUGGGCUCAGGCUGGGACACCAACAUCCCUAGGACACAGUCCUGUUGUUCAAGGAGCUGUGCUGACACGUAGCCCAAAAGCUAUAAAGCAGAGUGAAAAGGAAAGAACAGAAAUGAGUGCAGAAGUGGCACCCAGGGAGAUGGGAGAGGUCAGGCGAGACAUCUUGGAAGAAGUGACAUCUAGACUGAGUCUUGAAUGAGAGUUUACAAGGAGGACUAAGUUGGAUACAAGAGGGGAGAGGAGAGGAAGUGGUGGUCCAGUUAAAGAGAAACGUGCAAAGACACAGAAACAUGAAACGAUACAGCAGGAUGGGGAACUGCACCAGCCGUGGUGAGGCUGAACCCCAAGCACAGGAGGGAAUCUGCACUUCGAGGCUGGCACAGGGGGCCAGGCCACAUCAGGAGGGGCUUGGAAGCCGUGCUAAUCCAACUGGACUCCAGCUUGUUUCUUCCAGCUUUCUGAAUCUACCCACACCAGGAGGGCCUUCUCGCUUUUUGCCCAGCACAGGCUGGAAAGGGGCCUUGCAGAGAGACUGUGGUUGGGAGGCGAGAGAAAGACAGAGGAGCCUUAAGUUGGGGAUCUUGCCCUCCCUUGAUGCUUGGAAGGCCUCUGGCCCAGCUCAGCAGCAGCGUGCACACACACUAGGUGCACAGCGUUGCUGGGGACACUGGCAGAGUCCCUGGUGAUGCUUCGCCAUCUGAGACAGCUCAGCGCAGAACAGGGAAUUUCCCUCGGCACUCCUUCAUCCUGCUUGUCUACCAAAAGGUGAAAUCAUUUGUUGUAAAAUAAAACAAUUCCCAUCUCUA